UGCGUAGGGAGCAGGCGUUAUCCGGGAUUAUUGGGUGUAAAGAGUGCGUAGACGGGAGAACAAGUUGGUAUGUGAAAUCCCUCGGCUUAACUGAGGAACUGCAACCAAAACUAUUUUUCUUGAGUGCUGGAGAGGAAAGUGGAAUUCCUAGUGUAGCGGUGAAAUGCGUAGAUAUUAGGAGGAACACCAGUGGCGAAGGCGACUUUCUGGACAGUAACUGACGUUGAGGCACGAAAGCGUGGGGAGCAAA
RNAcentral lists this ribosomal RNA (250 nucleotides) under uncultured prokaryote. RNAcentral describes it as "partial 16S ribosomal RNA". It matches the Rfam family "Bacterial small subunit ribosomal RNA", at positions 524 to 772 of the family's 1533-position model. The record is from RNAcentral.